CAAUUCGAUAUGGUCUGAUUUGUUGAUUAUUUUGUUUUUUGUUUUGUGGUUAUUUUUUAUGUAGGUGAAGUAUUUUUAGGUUGUUGUAUGGGUUGGAUUUAAUUAUUUUACUAUAGUUUAUUUGUACCGUGAGGGGUCAAUAUUUUAAUAUUUUUUUGGAAGUUGAUUUUGUUUUUUGUACCUUGUGUAUCAGGGUUCAUUGAAUUUUAUUAUUUAUUUUUAUUUCCCGAUUUUGAAGGAGUUAAUGGCUUAUGCUAGUUACUGUUUCAUUAGUAUUAGUAAUGAGUUGUUGGUAGUGAAAUGUUAUUCGUCUUUGGUGGUUUCUGGUUUUUCAAGAAAUGAAUUUAAUUCAUGCAUUUUGUUUAAAUUUUAUUUUUAAUUUAUUUGUUUUUAUUUGAUGUUAAGAUUAAGGGGGAUUAGCUCCUUGUUUUAUUUUUAUAAUUUGUUAUAGUUAAUUUAGUUUUGUGGAUUUUAUAGUGAUUUUCUAUUUGAUUAUGUUAAAAUUUUAUUUGUAUUUUUAUUUAUUUUUUAUUAUUUAAGUUUUAUAUUGAAAUGUUUUCUUUAAUUUUGUUUUGUAUAGUAAUUAUUGUGUAAUUAGUAAAUUUUAUUUGUUGUUUUGUGUAUAGCAUUGAUGUUAAUUUCUUUUUAGGAAUUCGGCAAAUAUUAUGUUCGCCUGUUUAACAAAAACAUCUUUUCUUGUUUAGUUUUUGAAGUAUGGCCUGCCCACUGACAUUUGUUGAAGGGCCGCGGUAUUUUGACCGUGCAAAGGUAGCAUAAUCAUUAGUUCUUUAAUUGUGAUCUGGUAUGAAUGGCUUGACGAGACAUUAGCUGUCUUAGAGGUAUUUUUUAUUGAAUUUAGUUUUUGAGUUAAAAUUCUUAAAUGUUUUUAUGGGACGAGAAGACCCUAUAGAGUUUGACAAGAUUUUUAUUUGUAUGAAUUGUUUGUUUGAUUGAUAGUGAUUAAUAAUCUUGUUUUGUUGGGGUGAUGGGAGGAAUUUAUUUAACUCCUCUUUGGUUUAUUAUAUUUAUUUAUAUUUCUUUUGAUCCAAUUAUUUUGAUUAUUAGAUUAAAUUACCUUAGGGAUAACAGCGUUAUUCUCCUUGAGAGUUCUUAUUGGCAGGAGGGAUUGCGACCUCGAUGUUGGAUUAAGGUGAAUUUUUGGUGUAGAAGCUGAAAGUGGUUAGGUCUGUUCGACCUUUAAAAUCUUACAUGAUCUGAGUUCAGACCGGCGUGAGCCAGGUUGGUUUCUAUCUAUAAAGUCUUAUUAUACCUUAGUACGAGAGGACCGGGUAUUUGGAAUAAUUUCGUUUAUAUUGGAUUUUGUUAAUGUGUUACUAUUUUGGCAGAUAAGUGCGUUGGAUUUAGAAUCUAUU
RNAcentral lists this ribosomal RNA (1373 nucleotides) under Caetetermes taquarussu. RNAcentral's name for it is "16S ribosomal RNA". The stretch from base 886 to 1258 matches the Rfam family "Archaeal large subunit ribosomal RNA", at positions 2149 to 2717 of the family's 2987-position model. Lineage: Eukaryota; Metazoa; Arthropoda; Insecta; Blattodea; Termitidae. The record is from RNAcentral.